CCGCAUACGCUUUGAGAAAGAAAGUGGGGGCUCUUUGGACCCCGCGUUAUUCGAGCGGCCGAUGUACUGAUUAGCUAGUGGGUGGGGUAAAGGCCUACCAAGGCGACGAUCAGUAGCGGGUCUGAGAGGAUGAUCCGCCGCACUGGGACUGAGACACGGCCCAGACUCCUACGGGAGGCAGCAGUGGGGAAUUUUGGACAAUGGGCGCAAGCCUGAUCCAGCCAUGCCGGGUGUCUGAAGAAGGCCUUCGGGUUGUAAAGGGCUUUUGUUAGGGAAGGAAAGGAUAGUGUUAAUUCCCUUAUGCUGC
RNAcentral lists this ribosomal RNA (307 nucleotides) under Kingella sp. oral taxon E69. RNAcentral describes it as "bacterial SSU rRNA". It matches the Rfam family "Bacterial small subunit ribosomal RNA", at positions 169 to 478 of the family's 1533-position model. The record is from RNAcentral. Lineage: Bacteria; Pseudomonadati; Pseudomonadota; Betaproteobacteria; Neisseriales; Neisseriaceae.